This 406-nucleotide ribosomal RNA is filed under the name uncultured bacterium. RNAcentral's name for it is "partial 16S ribosomal RNA". It matches the Rfam family "Bacterial small subunit ribosomal RNA", at positions 30 to 526 of the family's 1533-position model. The record is from RNAcentral.
AUUGAACGCUGGCGGCAGGCCUAACACAUGCAAGUCGAGCGAGUGGCGGACGGGUGAGUAAUGUAUGGGGAUCUGCCCGAUAGAGGGGGAUAACUACUGGAAACGGUGGCUAAUACCGCAUACUAUCGGAUGAACCCAUAUGGGAUUAGCUAGUAGGUGGGGUAAAGGCUCACCUAGGCGACGAUCCCUAGCUGGUAUGAGAGGAUGAUCAGCCACACUGGAACUGAGACACGGCCCAGACUCCUACGGGAGGCAGCAGUGGGGAUUAUUGCACAAUGGGCGCAAGCCUUAUGCAGCCAUGCCGCGUGUAUGAAGAAGGCCUUGGGGUUGUAAAGUACUUUCAGCGGGGAGGCGUUACCCGCAGAAGAAGCACCGGCUAACUCCGUGCCAGCCGCCGCGGUAAUUC